This 725-nucleotide ribosomal RNA is filed under the name uncultured Burkholderiales bacterium. Its description in RNAcentral is "bacterial SSU rRNA". It matches the Rfam family "Bacterial small subunit ribosomal RNA", at positions 60 to 772 of the family's 1533-position model. The record is from RNAcentral. Lineage: Bacteria; Pseudomonadati; Pseudomonadota; Betaproteobacteria; Burkholderiales.
AGUCGAACGGCAGCGAGGAGAAGCUUGCUUCUCUGUCGGCGAGUGGCGAACGGGUGAGUAUAGCAUCGGAACGUGCCAAGUAGUGGGGGAUAACCAAACGAAAGUUUGGCUAAUACCGCGUAAGCUCCAAGGAGGAAAGUAGGGGACCUGAAUAAGGCCUUACGCUAUUUGAUCGGCCGAUGUCGGAUUAGCUAGUUGGUGGGGUAAUGGCUCACCAAGGCAAUGAUCCGUAGCGGGUCUGAGAGGACGAUCCGCCACACUGGGACUGAGACACGGCCCAGACUCCUACGGGAGGCAGCAGUGGGGAAUUUUGGACAAUGGGGGAAACCCUGAUCCAGCCAUGCCGCGUGUAUGAAGAAGGCCUUAGGGUUGUAAAGUACUUUUGUUAGGGAAGAAAAGCUAGUUUUUAAUAAAAAUUAGUGAUGACGGUACCUAAAGAAUAAGCACCGGCUAACUACGUGCCAGCAGCCGCGGUAAUACGUAGGGUGCAAGCGUUAAUCGGAAUUAUUGGGCGUAAAGCGAGUGCAGACGGUUACUUAAGCCAGACGUGAAAUCCCCAAGCUUAACUUGGGACGUGCAUUGGAACUGGGUGACUAGAGUGUGUCAGAGGGAGGUAGAAUUCCACAUGUAGCGGUGGAAUGCGUAGAGAUCUGGAGGAAUGCCGAUGGCGAAGGCAGCCUCCUGGGAUAACACUGACGUUGAGGCUCGAAAGCGUGGGGAGCAAA